Mesocricetus auratus (golden hamster) is the source of this 911-nucleotide long non-coding RNA. RefSeq lists it as uncharacterized. NCBI's taxonomy places the organism in Eukaryota, Metazoa, Chordata, Mammalia, Rodentia, Cricetidae. The record is from RefSeq and is a predicted model, not a curated record. The transcript has 6 exons.
GCCGCUAGCUGAGAACUAGAUCCUCUGGGUUUGGUAUCUUACUUCUGCUGUUGCAAAGCUGGGAGCCUUCACCAAGAGGUUGGAAGACCCUCAUCUCCAUCUUUACCCCUGAAAAUCCAAACACCUGCUAUAAAAACCAAAUCCAACAAACAACAACAAAAGGCCAGCGUGGAGUCUUCCCAAAUAUGGCUCCCCUUGGAAAAGCAACCAUGGCAUUAGACUCCAGCUGGUGGCUGGAGGAGGAUGUCUGCCUGUACACUCAGAGGAAGGCCAAGAAGCCCCACCAUUGCAAGGCCAGUGGGCAGUGCAGGAGCAGAAGUGUGGCCUCUGAUCUCCACAGUGCUUCAAAAUCCCCUGAGGCGUCCCAGCUGUAUGGGAUCAUGGGAAAUGAAGGUUUUAGCUUUCCAGUCUUUGCUGUAUUGUAGAAGUCCAGAUGGCAAGAAACUGAAGAAAGCUUCCAGGCAACAGCUAGGAAGGAAUCAAAGUCCACAACACACGUACCUCUAAGUCCAGUCAACUUGGCAGUAAAGAUCAACAUCAGGCUGUCUGGAUUCAGAAGACUUCAGCCAUUUCCUGAUGUCUCCAUGGGGCCACCAGCCUUCUGCCCAUGUGAAACCUUCAAUAGUAAAGCCUUUAAAAGGAGAAGAGAGCGAUCGAGUGGCUCUCUGGAUACAAGGAAAGCAGGGGAGAAGCGCUAAGAGGCUGUCCCACUUUGAGUGAGAGAGAAUGCAAAGGACACACAGCCAGUGGAUGACGUGGGCACAGCAUCCACCAAACAUGACGCUUCAUGUCACUUUCCCGUCACCUGGAGACAGACGUGACUGCUGCCUACCUGCUGUCACCUGCACCACAGACAGACUCACUGCUCAUGUCAUGUCUGAAAAAAUAAAUGACUUUCAGUAGUAUCCAUA